Cercocebus atys (sooty mangabey) is the source of this 1597-nucleotide RNA transcript. It is a transcript of the gene named AFG3-like protein 1, with no coding region annotated. Lineage: Eukaryota; Metazoa; Chordata; Mammalia; Primates; Cercopithecidae. The transcript is spliced from 3 exons. The record is from RefSeq and is a predicted model, not a curated record.
UGAGCCACCGCGCCCGGCCUCGAGCAGGCCUUUCUGAGGACAGCAGUCAGGCCUGCUGUGUUAAACACUGUUCUCUGUGGGCCAAAAGCAUUUCCUAAGUAUUUUUCUGUCUUUAGUACCCAAUAGUAAUUCUAAUUAGAUUAUGACUGUUUUGAUAUCUGGAGGAGACCGAUUGGAGACAGGACGGAUGUGGGGCACUCAGCCUUUCUCCUCCCUUCCCCUCUGUUGGGCAUCCCAUUUCCUGUGCAGUCCCUGGUCUGCCCUCAUCCACUCCAGCACGACGUGGUGUCAGAGGCUGCAGGAACCAGAAUUAAGUCAGGAUAAGGAGGGCCCACGCCCUGGACUUGUCUACCCCCUGAGCCAGGCUGUGGGGUUCCCAGUUAGUGGAGGGAUGGCUGGUUACUUGCCAUGCCCACAUCGGGCUUGCUACUGGGGCUCACCUGCUUCUCCCGUGUCCAGGGUUCAACUCUGCCACCAACAUCGUGGUGUUGGCUGGCACCAACCGCCCUGACAUCCUGGACCCAGCCCUGAUGCGGCCUGGCCGAUUUGAUCGCCAGAUUUACAUUGGCCCCCCUGACAUCAAAGGCAGGUCCUCCAUCUUUAAGGUCCACCUGCGCCCACUGAAGCUGGACGAGAGCCUCGAUAAGGACACCCUGGCUAGGAAGCUGGCAGCGCUCACCCCAGGCUUCACUGGAAACCUACUUCCCUGCCUAGGCUGGAUCACCCUCAGGAAUGAGUGGGGACUUCUCCGGGGGAUUCCUGUCCUGCUUACCCAUACUUCACGGUUAUGCGGCCAUUGGCCACGGCCUCUGACCUAUGCCCACCUGCUCCCACCACCCCUGGAACAUUCUGCUGUGGCAUCUCAUCACCUCCAGCUGCCUUGGCACCCCCAGUGGUACCCAUCCCCUAGGCUCCCCAGUGUCCUGCCUAGUGUCAGGUCAGGUGUAUUCACACAGGAUUGUACAUUUGUCUGCUGCAGAAUGGUGAGUGAGGUCUUGCCUGGCAGGCAUCUGAAGGGUGUCAUGUGUCUUAGACACAAAAUGUGCUUCUUUCCUUUUGUUCUCUCCUCUGGCUGACUUCAGAUGUCUGUUUACAUACCAAAGAUAAAAUGCUGGAAUGUUACCAAGACUGCUUUCUUGUGCCCCUAGAGGGGAUGACACAGCAGGGAUGAAUCAGCACUACCCCUCAGCAGGGAUGCCUGAUGACUCUGACUGCCCCUCAGCAGGGAUUACUAAGCACUAGCCCUUAACAAAGGUGACUCAGCAGGGAUGACUCAACAGGGAUGACUCAGCAGAGAUGACUCAGCAGGGAUAGCUCAUUACUGCCCCUGAACACGGAUGACUCAGCAGGGAUGACUCAGCACUGCUCCUCCACAGGGAUGACUCAGCAAGGAUGACUUAGCAUUGCCCCUCAACAGGGAUGACUCAGCAGGGAUGAUUCAGCAGAGAUGACAGCACUGUGCCUCAGCAGGGAUGACUCAGCAGGGAUGGCUCAGCACUGCCCCUCAACAGGGAUGACUCAGCACUGCCCAACAGGGAUGACUCAGCAGGGAUGACUCAGCACUGCCCCUCAACAGGGAUGACUCAGCAGGGAUGAC